UUCCAUAUAGUUCAAUGAUACAGAAAAGGCGCGAAGCGACAGGAAGACAGGAUUUUAUCAUAAGGAAGGAACCCAGAGCUUCUAACAACCAGUGGGGGUGCGAAGGCUGACGUUGCCCACUCCAUUGAACAAAGUGGUCCCUUUUUCAUGAA
Lacerta agilis (Sand lizard) is the source of this 152-nucleotide long non-coding RNA. RefSeq lists it as uncharacterized. The record is from RefSeq and is a predicted model, not a curated record. The transcript has 2 exons. NCBI's taxonomy places the organism in Eukaryota, Metazoa, Chordata, Lepidosauria, Squamata, Lacertidae.